UAAUGAAAAAGGCAAAUUUAUCGAAAGGUAAAGACGCAAAGCCAUGGGCCUAAACAGUUUUUUUAUACUGCAAUGGCUGCCAGGUUGCCAGG
This 92-nucleotide non-coding RNA is filed under the name Clostridium sp. RNAcentral describes it as "c-di-GMP sequence". It matches the Rfam family "c-di-GMP-I riboswitch aptamer". From Rfam's summary of the family: GEMM was predicted in a large-scale screen for bacterial structured RNA regulatory elements. The record is from RNAcentral. Lineage: Bacteria; Bacillati; Bacillota; Clostridia; Eubacteriales; Clostridiaceae.